CCCCCCCGGCCGGCGGGGAGCCGCGAGGAGCCCGAGGCCCUGGCAACGGGUGCACGCGCCGCCGCGGCUGUCACUCAAAGUGUCGCAAGUCGCUGCGCCCCGUUUGCAACAGGGGGGAGACUUUAUACCGAGAGAGGGAAUGAGCAGCCACAGUGAGCACGUCCUCCAGCAGCUCUGCUCACAGCUCGAGUACGGCUUCCUCUGUGACUGCUCCAUCGCGGUGGGUGACGUGCGGUUCCGGGCUCACCGGGUGGUGCUGGCGGCCUGCAGCUCGUACUUCCACAAGCUCUUCGUCAACCAGCCGGCGGAGUCUUCGCUGGUGGCCCUCAGCCCUCAGGCCGUCAGCCCCGACCACUUCGACCUGAUCCUGCAGCUGAUGUACACCGGCCGCCUGGGGUCGCCGCCGGCCGACCCCGAGCGCUUCCACGCCUCCCUCAGGUUCCUCAAGCUCUACAACGCGGGCCGCUUCCUGCCGCCAGGGGAUCGGAAUGCUGAGGAGGCCUCGCUCCUGGCCUCGACCAAGCCGCUGGUCUUUGGUGUGCAGCUAUACCCGGAGCGGGCAGCCAGCGAGAGCCUGGGGCCUGCCAACGAGAGCCUGGGGCCUGCCAACGAGAGCCUGGGGCCUACCAACGAGAGCCUGGGGCCUGCCAGCGUGAGCUUGGGGACAGCCACGUGCUCCCAGGUCCCGGUGGCGGUCAAGGCGGAAAACCCCGAAGAGGCGUCGGACCAACGGGCCGGCCUGGGAUCUGUGGAGGAGGAGCAGCCGCACGCUGACAAGGAACACCCGCGGCCGCAGGCCGAGUGUCCUUUCUUCUGCCCGCUCUGCGGCCUGGCCUUCGAGCGGGCCCAGAGGCUGCAGGAUCAUCUCAGCAGCUGCUGCAGUGGCCCAUUCCAGCACGAGCCUGCCAUCAAGCGGGAGGAGGAGGAGGCCGAGAGGCCCAGCCUGGAUGGCAGGCCUCGUGAGGGAGGGCACGCGGAGGCCGAGGAGGGAGGCUGCAGGCCCUGGGCCCCCGAGGGUGAGGACUAUGAACUGGAGGAGGGUGAGGUGCGCUUCCCUGGCGAUGAUGACCUGGUCCUGGAGAAUGCCACCGACGACUCCUUCAGCAGCACUGAGAGCAGCCUAGAGGGUGACGGCGAGGGCUCAGGCCGGUCAGAACCAAGCGAGGAAGAAGCAGGAGGCGGCGGGCCUAGCGAGGCCUCCCUCUCGUCCCUGGGGCUCGGCCGCAGCCCCUGUCAAGCGGCCCGGCGCAGGGGCAAGGCCUGGUCGUGCCAGGCCUGUGAGGGGUGCUGCCUGGCCGAGGAGCGGAGCUGGGGUCGGAGCUGCAAGAAGAAACGGCUUAAGAGGAGGAGCAAGGAAGGCGAGGAGCCAGCGGCCGCCCCUUCCGCCCUGCUGCAGGAGGCCGAGAGGCCACAGCCGGCGCCCAAGCUGGUGCAGGGCCCGGGGGAGCUGGCGGCGGCUCGCGGCCUGAGCGAGCGGCUGGCCUGCCCGGCCUACGCGCGGGCCUUCCCCUGGGAGCUGCGGAUGCAGCUGGCCGGCCGUGCGGAGGGCGUGGUGGGGGGCGCCCGCUUCGGGUGCACCAUAUGCGGGUACCGCAGCCGACGCAAGCACGCACACCUGCGGCACCUGGCCUCGCACCUGUUGCCGGGCCAGGCCGUCUGCCAGGUCUGCUUCGAGAUCGUGGGCAGCAAGGGCGACCUGCAGCAACACCUGGAAAGCCACCUGUACUCCUGCGGCGUCUGUGGCCAGAAGUUCCGGCUCAAGAAGGACAUGGUUGCCCACGCCAACAGCUGCUGGUCCAGGAAGCUACACGGGAGGGUGGGCAGGUUUGGCUCCAAGAGCAAGAAUUGAUGCCAAAGGGGAAUUGCCAAGGACACUGCCUUCGGGCAGGGGCCCCGGACGUUGAGAUCUGGAGCGCAGGCGAAACUUCCAGAAGGAUUCGCCGGGUCGGGCAGCGUCCACGGAGAGAAAUGGACACCCAACGUUUUGGGUCAAGCCCUCCAUGUGGACUUUGGGGACUUAGCAGGUCGAGCGGUGUCCGUGGUAGGAAUUGGGACGGUUGACGUGCUGAGUCAAGAACGUGGCCACGAACUUAUCAAUCACUCCUGCUGUGGACCGCUUCUGGAGGUCCAAGACGGUGACCUCUACAAAGAAGGGAUCCGUAUGCUCCACGACCGCUGGACUAAGUGUGUAAGUGUAGGAAAAAUAAAUGUGCUAGGUUUUCGAAAAUUGACUCCUUCUACCGCAGGCCAUGAUCUUAUCAAUCACUCCUUGUACUGUGUGAAAUAUAGAACUGAAACUGUUCAGAUGAAAAGGCAAUAGUCUGGAAAAGUUUCUGCUCUCGUUCCUUGAUGGAGCAGGAUUAUCAAGAGCUUUAUUGUCUGCGAGCGGUACACUAUUUGGAAGUGCCAUGUUUUUUUAAAAACAGAACUCCUUACCCCUAAGCUCCACCUGCCAGCCCGGGUGGAUAUAAAUGCCACGGCCCCCAGUUUGAAGAAGGGAGCAGUCCUCCCACGAUGUCUGGUUAGUGUCCAUUCCUUGACCAGUUACUAACGGGGUGGUGAUCUGGUUGUCGUUACAGUCAUGUUGGGCUUUCCAUUCCCCAUCACUUCUUGCCCGUCAUCACCAGUCAGGUUACACCUCCCUGCUGAUGAGAGUGCCCCGUUGGCCAGGGAGCACACAUCUCCCAUGGGCCAUUGCGGAGGGAACACACUGACGAAUCUUAGUCCUGCCAAUGUUAACUAUUAUAAUUACCUUUGGGCAUAGAACAUCGAAGAACACAGCACAGAAACAGGCCAUUUGGCCUGCAGUGUUGUGCUGAACCAGCUAAAAAGCAGAUCAAAAACACCCAAACGCUAAUCCCUCCUACCUACACCAUGUCCCUAUCCCUCCAUCUUCCUCACAUCCAUGUGCCUAUCCAAACGACUCUUAAAAGCCUCUAAUGUAUUUGCCUCUACCACAAUACCAGGCAGCACAUCCACCACUCUCUGAGUAAAAAACUUACCCCUUGAAACUCCCCUCCCCCCCUUUUAUUGCAUGGCCCCUGAUAUUAGACAUCUCAACCCUGGGGAACAGAUACUCUCUGUCCACUCUGUCUAUGCUUCUCAUCAUCUUAUAAACCUCUGUCAGAUCUCCCCUCAGCCACCGUCACUGCAGAGAAAACAACCCAAGUUUACCCAGCCUCUCGUGAUAGCGCAUGCCCUCUAAACCAGGCAGCAUCCUGGUAAACCUCUUCUGCACCCACAUCCUUCCUCUCGUGGGGCGACGGGAGGCCUUGUGAGGGCUUCUCUGAAGGGAGGGCGGAAGAGGGUGAAUGAAAAGCCAGUGGUCAAACCGGGUUUCCCCUCCCACCUCCUCUGGAUCAGUUAGAUGCUCGACUUGGUUUACCGUUCAUUAGGAAAGGUAGUGGGGAGCAGUCACAGAUGGCAGGGCUAGGCAGCUGGUCGUGAAGCUGCCCCGCGGCCCCCAGAGAUCCGCAUUCUGCACGGACUUUCCCACCUCCUCCUGGUGCCCGGAUUUCCCAGCUCCCCUGGGUUCCUCUCGCAUCCCAUCGAGGAGCUGGGGAGCUGAAUGAUUGCCGUAAAUUGCCCCUUAGUGCAGGUGGAGGUAGAAAGAGAUCAGAGGGGACUUGAUGAGGGUGUAUGCAAGAGGGAGUGGACUGCGGGGAAAUAUGAGGGGGACUGGGAGUGCUCCCCUGGGUGCCAAUGUGUGAGGGAACCCGUGCCCCAGCUGGGGCAGGUCAGGACUCCCCCAGUACUAUUUAACUUUUGUUACUUGAUCUUAUCGGCUGAUGGUUUGAAACAAAGAGCAGUUUUACAUUGCACUGAUUGAAAAGUUUUUCUUUGAAGUUUGUUGAUAAACCAAGCUUUGUAAAUAAAUUAUUAAUUGGAGUGUCUUUGAGUUUAUCUGAUUAA
RNA transcript from Mobula hypostoma (lesser devil ray), 3912 nucleotides. It is a transcript of the gene named zinc finger and BTB domain-containing protein 1-like, with no coding region annotated. NCBI's taxonomy places the organism in Eukaryota, Metazoa, Chordata, Chondrichthyes, Myliobatiformes, Myliobatidae. The transcript is spliced from 3 exons. The record is from RefSeq and is a predicted model, not a curated record.